AUUGAACGCUGGCGGCAGGCCUAACACAUGCAAGUCGAACGAGUGGCGGACGGGUGAGUAAUGUCUGGGAAACUGCCUGAUGGAGGGGGAUAACUACUGGAAACGAUAGCUAAUACCGCAUACCAUCGGAUGUGCCCAGAUGGGAUUAGCUAUUAGGUGGGGUAAAGGCUCACCUAGGCGAAGAUCCCUAGCUGGUCUGAGAGGAUGACCAGCCACACUGGAACUGAGACACGGUCCAGACUCCUACGGGAGUCAGGAGUGGGGAAUCUUGCACAAUGGGCGCAAGUCUGAUGCAGCCAUGCCGCGUGUAUGAAGAAGGCCGUCGGGUUGUAAAGUACUUUCAGCGGGGAGGCGUUACCCGCAGAAGAAGCACCGGCUAACUCCGUGCCAGCCGCCGCGGUAAUUC
This 406-nucleotide ribosomal RNA is filed under the name uncultured bacterium. Its description in RNAcentral is "partial 16S ribosomal RNA". It matches the Rfam family "Bacterial small subunit ribosomal RNA", at positions 30 to 526 of the family's 1533-position model. The record is from RNAcentral.